UCCGUAGGUGGCAAUCGUUAUCCGGAAUUAUUGGGCGUAAAGCGCGCGCAGGUGGUUUCUUAAGUCUGAUGUGAAAGCCCACGGCUCAACCGUGGAGGGUCAUUGGAAACUGGGAGACUUGAGUGCAGAAGAGGAAAGUGGAAUUCCAUGUGUAGCGGUGAAAUGCGUAGAGAUAUGGAGGAACACCAGUGGCGAAGGCGACUUUCUGGUCUGUAACUGACACUGAGGCGCGAAAGCGUGGGGAGAAAACAGG
Molecule: ribosomal RNA, 253 nt
Filed under: uncultured bacterium
Lineage: Bacteria
Description: partial 16S ribosomal RNA
Rfam family: Bacterial small subunit ribosomal RNA
Source: RNAcentral